GCCCGGGUGGCUCAGUAGGUUAAGCAUCUGACUUCAGCUCAGGUCAUGAUGUUGUGGUUCGUGGGUUUGAGCCCCGCAUCAGGCU
RNAcentral lists this transfer RNA (85 nucleotides) under Felis catus (domestic cat). It matches the Rfam family "tRNA". From Rfam's summary of the family: Transfer RNA (tRNA) molecules are approximately 80 nucleotides in length. Their secondary structure includes four short double-helical elements and three loops (D, anti-codon, and T loops). Lineage: Eukaryota; Metazoa; Chordata; Mammalia; Carnivora; Felidae. The record is from Rfam by way of RNAcentral.